This 454-nucleotide ribosomal RNA is filed under the name uncultured Cyphellophora. Its description in RNAcentral is "SSU rRNA". It matches the Rfam family "Eukaryotic small subunit ribosomal RNA", at positions 624 to 1083 of the family's 1831-position model. The record is from RNAcentral. Lineage: Eukaryota; Fungi; Ascomycota; Eurotiomycetes; Chaetothyriales; Herpotrichiellaceae.
AAGCUCGUAGUUGAACCUUGGACCUGGCUGAUCUGUCCUCCUAAUCGAGCGUACGGAUUCGGUCGGGUCUUUCCUUCUGGGGAACCCUAUGUCCUUCAUUGGGUGUAGUGGGGAACCAGGACUUUUACCUUGAAAAAAUUAGAGUGUUCAAAGCAGGCCUUUGCUCGAAUACAUUAGCAUGGAAUAAUAGAAUAGGACAUCGGUUCUAUUUUGUUGGUUUCUAGGACCGCUGUAAUGAUUAAUAGGGAUAGUCGGGGGCGUCCGUAUUCAAUUGUCAGAGGUGAAAUUCUUGGAUUUAUUGAAGACGAACUACUGCGAAAGCAUUCGCCAAGGAUGUUUUCAUUAAUCAGUGAACGAAAGUUAGGGGAUCGAAGACGAUCAGAUACCGUCGUAGUCUUAACCAUAAACUAUGCCGACUAGGGAUCGGACGGUGGUUUUUUUAUGCCCCGUUCGG